Ailuropoda melanoleuca (giant panda) is the source of this 250-nucleotide long non-coding RNA. RefSeq lists it as uncharacterized. NCBI's taxonomy places the organism in Eukaryota, Metazoa, Chordata, Mammalia, Carnivora, Ursidae. The transcript is spliced from 3 exons. The record is from RefSeq and is a predicted model, not a curated record.
CUGAUUGUAUUUGAGCCCUCUCUCUUUCUUGGUUGUCUAUGGAGAGCUUUCUUGUGGAUUGAGGAAGACCUGAAUUUCUGAGAAUGUCCACCUUAGAGCCACUUUUGCUGCCUCCGGUGUCUGAACUCUGGCCCACUGAGUUCUGUUCAGAUCUUCACACUCCACAGACUCUGUUGUGGCUUAGAAUUGUCAGAUCUUUGGCUCCUACCAUCUGAAAUGCACCCUCUGCUUCUCUUUACCUGUCUGGCUC